AACGAACGCUGGCGGCAGGCUUAACACAUGCAAGUCGAGCGCAUCCUUCGGGGUGAGCGGCGGACGGGUGAGUAACGCGUGGGAACGUGCCCUCUUCUACGGAAUAGCCUCGGGAAACUGAGAGUAAUGCCGUAUACGCCCGCAAGGGGAAAGAUUUAUCGGAGGAGGAUCGGCCCGCGUUGGAUUAGGUAGUUGGUGGGGUAACGGCCUACCAAGCCGACGAUCCAUAGCUGGUUUGAGAGGAUGAUCAGCCACACUGGGACUGAGACACGGCCCAGACCCCCAAGGGAGGGCGGCAGGGGGGAAUCUUGAAAAUUGGGGCAACCCUGAUCCAGCCAUGCCGCGUGAUCGAUGAAGGCCUUAGGGUUGUAAAGAUCUUUCAGCUGGGAAGAUAAUGACGGUACCAGCAGAAGAAGCCCCGGCUAACUCCGUG
RNAcentral lists this ribosomal RNA (433 nucleotides) under uncultured bacterium. Its description in RNAcentral is "partial 16S ribosomal RNA". It matches the Rfam family "Bacterial small subunit ribosomal RNA", at positions 29 to 507 of the family's 1533-position model. The record is from RNAcentral.